RNAcentral lists this ribosomal RNA (456 nucleotides) under uncultured bacterium. Its description in RNAcentral is "bacterial SSU rRNA". It matches the Rfam family "Bacterial small subunit ribosomal RNA", at positions 439 to 905 of the family's 1533-position model. The record is from RNAcentral.
CCUGUGACGAAGCGUGAGUGACGGUAAUGGGUAAAGAAGCACCGGCUAACUACGUGCCAGCAGCCGCGGUGAUACGUAGGGUGCGAGCGUUGUCCGGAUUUAUUGGGCGUAAAGGGCUCGUAGGUGGUUGAUCGCGUCGGAAGUGUAAUCUUGGGGCUUAACCCUGAGCGUGCUUUCGAUACGGGUUGACUUGAGGAAGGUAGGGGAGAAUGGAAUUCCUGGUGGAGCGGUGGAAUGCGCAGAUAUCAGGAGGAACACCAGUGGCGAAGGCGGUUCUCUGGGCCUUUCCUGACGCUGAGGAGCGAAAGCGUGGGGAGCGAACAGGCUUAGAUACCCUGGUAGUCCACGCUGUAAACGGUGGGUACUAGGUGUGGGGUCCAUUCCACGGGUUCCGCGCCGUAGCUAACGCUUUAAGUACCCCGCCUGGGGAGUACGGCCGCAAGGCUAAAACUCAAA